RNAcentral lists this ribosomal RNA (301 nucleotides) under uncultured bacterium. RNAcentral's name for it is "partial 16S ribosomal RNA". It matches the Rfam family "Bacterial small subunit ribosomal RNA", at positions 509 to 807 of the family's 1533-position model. The record is from RNAcentral.
CAGUCGCCGCGGGAAUACGAAGGGGGCUAGCGUUGUUCGGAUUUACUGGGCGUAAAGGGCGCGUAGGCGGACUGAUAAGUCAGGGGUGAAAUCCCAAGGCUCAACCUUGGAACUGCCUUUGAUACUGUCUGUCUUGAGUUCGAGAGAGGUAAGUGGAACUGCGAGUGUAGAGGUGAAAUUCGUAGAUAUUCGGAAGAACACCAGUGGCGAAGGCGGCUUACUGGCUCAUUCUAGACGCUGAGGUGCGAAAGCGUGGGGAGCAAACAGGAUUAGAGACCCCAGUAGUCCCUGUCUCUUAUAC